GUUAUCAAUGAUUGUAUGCUAAUUUUUUUUUACCAUGCUAAUGCUGAUAAUUGAUGAUUGAUAAGUUCAGUUUAUCAUGCUGAGGGAACU
Molecule: small nucleolar RNA, 90 nt
Organism: Trifolium pratense (red clover)
Lineage: Eukaryota; Viridiplantae; Streptophyta; Magnoliopsida; Fabales; Fabaceae
Product: small nucleolar RNA snoR53Y
Exons: 1
Source: RefSeq, a predicted model, not a curated record